Bos taurus (domestic cattle) is the source of this 1665-nucleotide long non-coding RNA. The record is from Ensembl. NCBI's taxonomy places the organism in Eukaryota, Metazoa, Chordata, Mammalia, Artiodactyla, Bovidae.
CUCCAAGAGCACGUGCACGGGCUCCCCGUGUGCCUGGCGUGCCAGAUUCUUCUCCUGCAGCUCCCGGAUCUCCAGGGUUAAUGCUCCGCUCAGAAGGCUGAGAAGUGCUGCCUCUCCACUUUGUUUAAACAGUGCUGGAGUGAUCCAUCCCUUAAAGGUUUGGUGGAACCUGAGGGGCCAACCUCAGCCUGCAGCUGGCACCUGAAAAGAAGGCCUCAGUGACUCAGAUGAUUGAUCCCAGCAGGGCAGUUUCCGUGGAGCCGACCAUAAGCCUCAGAGAUGCAGACUCCCACGUCCUUGGGGUGGGACUCUCCCUCCCUCCAUCCUGGAUCUUCUUGCUGGUCGAGCCUAGCCCGCCAGAGAGGAGGAUCACAUGUCGGAGUGUAUGUGUCUGUUGUCUGUUUGGGCAGCUGGGUCUCCCCCCGCCCCAGCCUCCGCCGCAGCUCUCUGCUGUUCUGUCCGUGGGGGUCCAGGCGGCCGUGGUACUUCUGCCCACCCUGGUUGCCCUCCGCUGCAGCACCUUGUGUCCCGCGACCAGUAGCCGACCGCCAGGCUCCAGUCUGUGUCUGCCAAGGACGCAUCUUCCCAACACUUCCCCGUGACAACCUCAGGUGGAAGCAAUUUCACCGUCUUGUAACUCACCGGGUCAUUAUAAUUAGUAUCCCGGCGCCCAGGGCGAGGGCGGAAGAAAGGAAAGAAAAGACUCGAUCCAGCCAGGCGAAGAGCAGCAGCCUCUGGGGGCUGGGGCGGCCUUUCCUCCUGCUCCAGCUCGUAACUCAGAUUUUCUCAGGACUGAUUCCAUCACGUCCCUCCCCUCCGUGUGUGCAAGUCUUCCCAGCUCAGCAGAGCCAGGCCUGUCUCCAUGAAGAACCCGAGCCUGGAGCGGAGGAGACUCAUUGGUGUCAGCAGCAGUGCCAGGAGGCAACCCUCGGUCUCUCAGGUGAUGGGGCCUGGCCCCUCUCUGCUGAGUGUGGGACAGAGCACCACGGGCCUCCUGCAGAGCCUGGAGGAGGCUGGGAGCAUCUGAGCUGGUCACGGUCAGUGAUCUGACCAGUGCUGCCCCAGCCCCCUGGGCCAUGAUGUUCCCAACAUCUCCUGACUCAGAAACUGCUUUGAGACGCUCACAACCCACUUUGUGAGUGACCUUCCCAGAAGUGGAACUGAGCAGAAGCUCUCGAGAUCACAUUUGCCUCCUCACACUCACUCUAAUGAAACCCGACACUUAGUAGUGGGGAACAGGACUCAGAAAUGGGGACCCUAGGGCCGGUGGGCCAAAGGGAACAGAGACUGGACAGAUGCACCCAACAUUUCUCUUGCUGGACUCUGUCUUGCCUGACCCAGGGAAUGCCUGGAAUCCAGCAUCCUGACCCUGUCCCAGCCAUGAGCCCUGGGCAAAGGUGCAGGGACCAUGUUCUCUGCAGAGCCAAGCAUGCCCUGACUAGGUGCUCGGGCAAAUGUCUGGUGAACUUGCAGGAAUAAAAGCUGGUUUUCACUCAGUGCUAGAGUGCGCUGUACUUUGUGAUCUUGCAUAGUUCCUAUGAUGGGGAGGUCACUACCUAAUCAAGUUUCAGAUCUUAGUUUGGUUUUCUAGAAGUUGACCCUGAAGCAAGGAUUCAAGCACACCUAGCUUAUUGGGGACGUGACCUGGAAAAUAAUGGUAGAGGG